AACAUCUAAAAUCUACUCUGCCCUCAAGUUUUGUUCUGAUAGGUUUUAGUUCACUUUCUAUUCACCAUAACCAAACACAGGAAUUCUGUCCACAUGACUUCACUCUCUACUUUCUAAGAGCCUCCCACUCUGUAUUUGCAAGCAUGUGCAUGCACACAUGUACAUAUUUUAUCAGGCAGACCUGAGCUGUUAAAAGAAACAUUUAUAAUCAAAAGGGAAAGCAGUCAAAGCAAAGGGCUUUUUGCUUCCUUGGGAAAAUGACAUGACUUUGGGCCUUUUUAAAAAGAAGACAGAGAAGAGGGAGAAAAGUAAAGUAAUGGAAUGAAGGGGUAAGUAGGUCAUAAAUUGCAAUCUGGAUGCAUAGUGUUAUCUACAUAGAUCCAAAUUUGAUGGUUCAUAGCUUCUCUAGUAGCUUUCUGCCCCAGACUGUCCCCUUGAGACUAACAGGAACAAGUUUGUGUAACAAUUAAUUUAAUAACUUCAGUUCAUGGUAUUCUCAUUACUGACAAACUAAAAACCAAGAUUUUUCACUUAAUCAUAAACCAGAUUCUACUAAUCAAUCACUUAUAGUAUACUCCCCAUUCUUUUCUACCAGCAAGAAUCUCCCACCUUUGUGGGAUUUUCUGGUAGAGAUUUUCUUUUCUCUCUGAAUGUGAGUAAAUAAAAAUAGUUAUCUACUCCUUGCUAGUAUGAUUUUUAUCCACUAUUUAAGCUAUUUAGAUGUCUCAUAUGAAUAUGAUAUUCAGAUUUGAGAAGAUACCCCUUUAUGGUCCAUCUUACACUCAAUUCCUUUUACCCCCUUAAGAUUCCUUCUUUCAUACUUCAUAAAAAUACGUAUUUAAAUCAAAACAUUCAGAGGUCAGAAAAGGGAAAAAACUGUCAAACACUCCAAAACAUCAUACUUAAAAGAGUCAUAGAUUUGGGGUUUUUUUAAAGUCAGUAUACUUGAUCAGGUAAAAUGAAUAACAACCUCCCUUUUCCAUAUUCC
Molecule: long non-coding RNA, 988 nt
Filed under: Marmota monax (woodchuck)
Lineage: Eukaryota; Metazoa; Chordata; Mammalia; Rodentia; Sciuridae
Source: RNAcentral